This 91-nucleotide small nucleolar RNA is filed under the name Otolemur garnettii (small-eared galago). RNAcentral describes it as "Small nucleolar RNA U13". It matches the Rfam family "Small nucleolar RNA U13". The record is from Rfam by way of RNAcentral. Lineage: Eukaryota; Metazoa; Chordata; Mammalia; Primates; Galagidae.
ACCCUUUAGUAGUCUACAAGCGUCAUGGUAGCCUGUUCACGCACACUUGUGAGAUGUGCCUCUUGUUUGUUGGUGUGUUACCCCUCUGACA